Molecule: ribosomal RNA, 1455 nt
Filed under: Pelagibacteraceae bacterium AG-426-G02
Lineage: Bacteria; Pseudomonadati; Pseudomonadota; Alphaproteobacteria; Candidatus Pelagibacterales; Candidatus Pelagibacteraceae
Also listed under: 1 other name
Description: bacterial SSU rRNA
Rfam family: Bacterial small subunit ribosomal RNA
Source: RNAcentral
AGAGUUUGAUCAUGGCUCAGAACGUACGCUGGCGGCACGCCUAACACAUGCAAGUCGAACGAAGUAGCAAUACUUAGUGGCAGACGGGUGAGUAACAUGUGGGUAUCUGCCCUUUGGCCUGGAAUAACACGAGGAAACUUGUGCUAAUACCGGAUAAGUCUUUACAGAGAAAGCUUUAUGCACCAUUGGAUGAGCCCGCACUUGAUUAGUUUGUUGGUGGGGUAAUGGCCUACCAAGACUUUGAUCAAUAGCUGAUUUGAGAGGAUGAUCAGCCACAUUGGGACUGAGACACGGCCCAAACUCCUACGGGAGGCAGCAGUGGGGAAUCUUGCACAAUGGAGGAAACUCUGAUGCAGCGAUGCCGCGUGAGUGAAGAAGGCCCUUGGGUUGUAAAGCUCUUUCGUCGGGGAAGAAAAUGACUGUACCCGAAUAAGAAGGUCCGGCUAACUUCGUGCCAGCAGCCGCGGUAAUACGAAGGGACCUAGCGUAGUUCGGAAUUACUGGGCUUAAAGAGUUCGUAGGUGGUUGAAAAAGUUGGUGGUGAAAUCCCAGAGCUUAACUCUGGAACUGCCAUCAAAACUUUUCAGCUAGAGUUUGAUAGAGGAAAGCAGAAUUUCUAGUGUAGAGGUGAAAUUCGUAGAUAUUAGAAAGAAUACCAAUUGCGAAGGCAGCUUUCUGGAUCAUUACUGACACUGAGGAACGAAAGCAUGGGUAGCGAAGAGGAUUAGAUACCCUCGUAGUCCAUGCCGUAAACGAUGUGUGUUAGACGUUGGAAAUUUAUUUUCAGUGUCGCAGCGAAAGCGAUAAACACACCGCCUGGGGAGUACGACCGCAAGGUUAAAACUCAAAUGAAUUGACGGGGACCCGCACAAGUAGUGGAGCAUGUGGUUUAAUUCGAAGAUACGCGCAGAACCUUACCAACACUUGACAUGUUCGUCGCGACUUUAAGAGAUUAAAGUUUUCGGUUCGGCCGGACGAAACACAGGUGCUGCAUGGCUGUCGUCAGCUCGUGUCGUGAGAUGUUGGGUUAAGUCCCGCAACGAGCGCAACCCUCACUUUUAGUUGCCAUCAUUAAGUUGGGCACUCUGAAAGAACUGCCAGUGAUAAGCUGGAGGAAGGUGGGGAUGACGUCAAGUCCUCAUGGCCCUUACGUGUUGGGCUACACACGUGCUACAAUGGUAUCUACAACAGGAAGCAAAACAGCGAUGUUAAGCAAAUCCUUAAAAGAUACCUCAGUUCGGAUUGCACUCUGCAACUCGAGUGCAUGAAGCUGGAAUUACUAGUAAUCGUGGAUCAGCGUGCCACGGUGAAUGCGUUCCCGGGUCUUGUACACACCGCCCGUCACACCAUGGGAGUUGGUUCUACCUUAAGGCAAGGCAUAAAACCCUUGACCACGGUAUAGUCAGCGACUGGGGUGAAGUCGUAACAAGGUAGCCGUAGGGGAACCUGCGGCUG